GUACAUUAGUGCUUGCGCACGACAAUAUAUUUCAUUACAUUCGAGUUUGUGUAAAAUUCCUCUGCCGGCCGAAGCUAGCAAGAGGCCAAAGGUUCACAGGGGUAUUGGAUGAAAGCCACCAACGUGCACUUGCUCGCGAGAGCCAGCACCGAAGGUAACCAUUCGCAAUCAUUAAUGAUCCUUCCGCAGGUUCACCUACGGAAA
RNAcentral lists this unclassified non-coding RNA (204 nucleotides) under uncultured fungus. RNAcentral describes it as "sequence contains ITS1". The record is from RNAcentral. Lineage: Eukaryota; Fungi.